This 373-nucleotide ribosomal RNA is filed under the name uncultured bacterium. Its description in RNAcentral is "bacterial SSU rRNA". It matches the Rfam family "Bacterial small subunit ribosomal RNA", at positions 521 to 896 of the family's 1533-position model. The record is from RNAcentral.
UAAUACGGAGGGUGCAAGCGUUAUCCGGAUUUACUGGGUUUAAAGGGUGUGUAGGCGGAUAUUUAAGUCAGAGGUGAAAUCUCCGGGCUCAACCCGGAAACUGCCUUUGAUACUAUUUAUCUUGAAUUUCGUUGAGGUUGGCAGAAUAUAUCAUGUAGCGGUGAAAUGCAUAGAUAUGAUAUAGAAUACCGAUUGCGUAGGCAGCUGGCUGAACGACGAUUGACGCUGAGGCACGAAAGCGUGGGUAGCGAACAGGAUUAGAUACCCUGGUAGUCCACGCCCUAAACGAUGAUUACUCGACAUACGCGAUACACAGUGUGUGUCUGAGCGAAAGCAUUAAGUAAUCCACCUGGGAAGUACGUCCGCAAGGAUG